AUGGAAGAGUCCUCGCAGAAGGUGAUCCCAACUUCAUUCAACGUUCGUUCGUGCUUACCGUUCUUCGUCUCUCUCACCAGUUGUGAAAGUAUGAAUUGGGUUCAGCGAAAGAUCCACCUUUACAAUGUUACAUUUGGGCUUUAUAUGCUGGAUUGGUGGGAGCGCUGUACUUUUAAUAUUUUGGUGAUUGUACUAAUGUGUUUUGUAGUGCGGUACAUUACUCAGUUUGUCAAGAGGUAUGUCUUUUUGUUGUAA
Molecule: non-coding RNA, 255 nt
Organism: Vicia faba (fava bean)
Lineage: Eukaryota; Viridiplantae; Streptophyta; Magnoliopsida; Fabales; Fabaceae
Source: the annotation of a GenBank genome assembly